UGAACUAUUCUCCAGGCUUAGUAUCUCUGAUACUCUUACUGCUUGAAGAACCCGUGGAGAUUCAGUGACCCAGAUGGAAGGGCCAGUGACUCUCUCAGAAGAGGCCUUCCUGACUAUAAACUGCACGUACACAGCCACAGGAUACCCUUCCCUUUUCUGGUAUGUCCAAUAUCCUGGAGAAGGUCUACAGCUCCUCCUGAAAGCCACGAAGGCUGAUGACAAGGGAAGCAACAAAGGUUUUGAAGCCACAUACCGUAAAGAAACCACUUCUUUCCACUUGGAGAAAGGCUCAGUUCAAGUGUCAGACUCAGCGGUGUACUUCUGUGCU
This 328-nucleotide long non-coding RNA is filed under the name Homo sapiens (human). RNAcentral describes it as "HSALNT0208021". Lineage: Eukaryota; Metazoa; Chordata; Mammalia; Primates; Hominidae. The record is from RNAcentral.